RNAcentral lists this ribosomal RNA (300 nucleotides) under Triticum aestivum (bread wheat). RNAcentral describes it as "partial small subunit ribosomal RNA". The record is from RNAcentral. Lineage: Eukaryota; Viridiplantae; Streptophyta; Magnoliopsida; Poales; Poaceae.
UUGACAGAGGUGGAAAGUACUGCGGCGGCAUGCUGGAGGCGCGGACCAGUGGCCCAACAACUGUACAGCGCCGCUGCAAUGGCGAUCACAACUAUGAGCACUCCGAUGCCAAGGGCUUCGCCGUCACCGACAAGGAGUAUGACUACAUCGCAGCCAAGUGCGGAAACAGGAGCUGUCCAGAGAGAUGUUUUGAUGGCUUUUGCAGGAUUAGUGACAGCAAGGAUAGUCCAAAAGCAGGCAGCGAUAAUAGAUAAUAUCACAGAAGAGGCGAGCGGAAUGAAGUGGGCGAAGGGCUUGUAG